Molecule: long non-coding RNA, 432 nt
Filed under: Homo sapiens (human)
Lineage: Eukaryota; Metazoa; Chordata; Mammalia; Primates; Hominidae
Description: long intergenic non-protein coding RNA 2055
Source: RNAcentral
GCCAUUUAAGACAUCUACCUGCUUCUCCUUUGCCUUCCAUCAUGACUGAAAGUUGUCUGAGGUCUCCCAGCCACGUGUCCUGUACAGCCUGUGGAACUACUUUAAAGAAGAAUCAGAAAAUGGAGACUGGGAUUGGAAGCAGAGAUCCGAUGGCCAAAUUACAGUCUGCCACUGAAGCUAACACACCUAUGGAUAACCCAACCUGUAAACUCAAUGUGGAACACAGUUUGAGAAAAGAAGUGAGAAGAUUCAAUUUUGAAGUUGGAUCACUCUCCUACAGGCAAUGAAGACCACAUCACUGAUGAACUCUGACUAAUACAUCAUGAACUUGCAGAAUUUUGGAUAUUUGACAAAUCUGAGGAAUUGAAGAGACGGGCACCUCACCUUUUCUGAGCAGAAGAGUUCAUUUGAUGAAACCUGAAGUAGAGAGCA